RNAcentral lists this long non-coding RNA (920 nucleotides) under Salvia miltiorrhiza (redroot sage). RNAcentral's name for it is "long non-coding RNA (SMIL_LNC002789)". Lineage: Eukaryota; Viridiplantae; Streptophyta; Magnoliopsida; Lamiales; Lamiaceae. The record is from RNAcentral.
AAAUAAAAUCUGUUAUGUAGUCAUUCCAAAAAUUUCAAUCCACAAUGCAAAAUCACAAAAUAAAUCCACAAAAUGUAUCAAAAUUACACAAUAUUUAUAAAACAUGGCAUUUGAUCUUGAAGUUCCUUGCAAAUCUAAUCCUACAAAUACCAAAAAAAUUCAAAUUACAUAAAAAAAAUCACAAAUGAGUAAUACCAGAAAUUAGACAAAUUCAAAUGAAAUAACUCUACCAAUGUUUUCUUCACAAAACUCUCAAGACAUUGUAUAUUCUUUAAAUCCCCAAUUUAUGCUGCAGGGGAAGAAUCAAACAACAUUAACCAAAUAAACACUAAUCACUUUACUGAAAGAAUGAAAUAUAGCAAUUGUAACCUUAAUUGAACCUUGCAACAUUUAAAUUAUGAGCAAAUUAAGAAAGAAUCAAAAUGCAGCAACAUAGAAAUUCAAACUGGCUCGCAUAUGCAGAUAGAGUCAGAGCCAAAUUAAAGGGCUGAGUGAAUAUACUUGCGGCUUAGGGUGUAUUUUCUGGGAGACGCGGUGGGUUGCAGCAGCGACUGGCUGCCACGCGUUCGACGCGGCCAACAGUCAGACGAGCGACGGUGGUGCGAGCGGCUGCGGAUUCGUUUGCUGGUUCGUUUGACGGAGCAAGAGAGUAUCGUUUUGCAAUUUUCGGACCGCUUGGUAGCAGAUCUUUGUGAUGGCGGUAUUGAUUUCGUUUUUGGUAAAAGAGAGACUGAGAGAGAAUUUAUGGGGGCUGCUGUUUGUGGACGGAAGGUGAGGCCGUCGGCGGAGGCGGCAUCUGCCAAGGGCAGAAAGAAAGAAGGCGGCGGCGGUGGAGACGGUGGAGACGGAGGGGGAGGGGCGGGGACCUGGGCGCCGAUCGGGGAGGGGCUCGGCGCGGCGGAGAUGGUAGAAUGGGUGGG